UUAUUGGAGAGUUUGAUCCUGGCUCAGGACGAACGCUGGCGGCGUGCCUAAUACAUGCAAGUCGAGCGAAU
This 71-nucleotide ribosomal RNA is filed under the name Metabacillus malikii. Its description in RNAcentral is "partial 16S ribosomal RNA". It matches the Rfam family "Bacterial small subunit ribosomal RNA", at positions 1 to 71 of the family's 1533-position model. The record is from RNAcentral. Lineage: Bacteria; Bacillati; Bacillota; Bacilli; Caryophanales; Bacillaceae.